Long non-coding RNA from Bombyx mori (domestic silkworm), 4121 nucleotides. RefSeq lists it as uncharacterized. The record is from RefSeq and is a predicted model, not a curated record. The transcript is spliced from 2 exons. NCBI's taxonomy places the organism in Eukaryota, Metazoa, Arthropoda, Insecta, Lepidoptera, Bombycidae.
UUUCUUUGUUCAAGGUACUUUUCGAAUAUAAUCAUCAAAAUCUGGUGAUAGGAUCCUAGAGAAAUCCAGAAGAAUGUAUAAUUGUCAAAGCCUAUCUUGAAGUAAUUUAGGAUUUAGGAUUUUCAAUGUUGUAAUGAAUUUUAGAAACGUAUUUAUGAAACGUAUUUAUUUGAAUAGGAUUAAUAUCAUUAUAAUAAGAGAAAACCUUUACUGAAUAUAAGGUUUUAAUAUGCUAAAAUUAACAGUAAAAUUUGUUUGUUACAAUAAAUACAUUGACAAUUAUCCAUAGACCUAUAUAGUAGGGACACGACAUAUUGUUCUAUACGUACAAUUGCUUAUAUAAAUAGCACCCAUUUUGAAGGCACAUACAUAAACAUAUAUCUAUCUCGUUCUUACUCAGCACUUUAACUCGCAGGAAAACAAUAUAACAGUAUUUCAGUGCGUACAUAAAAUGAAACAUGAAUAUACGUAAAUAUCUCCGUCUCCGUCUAAUGAGGCCGAAAAUCCGCCAUGCUUAGCGCGCCAAAUGUCAUUGUCACGUCAGUUCGGCCGUCUGCUUUGGGUUGUACAUUAUUUAUUGACUAUGAUAUCGAUUUAAUAUGAUUGAUUAUAUAAAAUUUCAUAAUUAUCAUGCUUAAAACAUACAAAAAUAAUAAUUAAAACGUGUUUUAUAGGAUCUCAAGAAAGUCGAUGCCCUAAAACUAUUAUCUAUAUGUAUUUAAAUUCAUUAUGGAGCCCUCAUCCGAAAAAUCCAUUUUUCGGUCGGAAUCUAUUGAUCAUGACACUAAUCAUAAAUACCACUUUAAAAUAUGUCAUCAAAACAUAUUUAGACAUUCUGUUUAGAUAUUUCGGGAAAAAGGCUGCCGACAAAAUCUCUUCGGAACUAUUUAAAUAAAAUAGUUUUAUUCCGCAGUGAGUAAAACACUAUUGUAAAUUUGUUAAAUAUUUAAUAAUUAAGUGAUUUUAGAGAGGAAGUCACAAGGAAUGACGUUUGUAAUUAAUGAAUAAAUGUUCUGUAGGUGUUUUUUUUUUCACGCGGUCCCUUGAUAAGUUUAAAAUUUGAAUCACUCUCAAGCGAAAGUGAUUCAAAUGGUGCGGCGCACCUUCCUUGGGGUGCGCUGCGGUAGUAUGUUACGGACUUUAGAGUCAGCAAAACAAUUAAAAUAGAUUGUAAUAGUCUAAGAAAAACACGUACUCAAAAUACGAUAACAUUUAGCAUGCUAGAAAUGGGCUGAUGGCUUUGAACUACGCCAUAUCUUUAUGUUUUGCAACAAACGACAACUUUAUAAAAUCAGUGUAGCAACUUUUAAAAAUCAUCAUAUCGUUUACUUGGCAAAUUCGAAGGACGAACUUGUCUUAGAUUUCACACAUCUAAAUCAUAUCAUAUUUGCACAUAACAAUAUACCUACUUACUUCCCAUUAAAGUAUAAAUUCUACAAAUAAAUAAUACUCAACAAUAUUUAAAAUAAAAUGAGCCAAGAACGUUUAUCGAUAAAACCUGAUAACAUUGAAAUCUUUUGUACAGCACUAAAGCCGCCAUGUUUUGUGGCCAGAUGACGUCACAGUGGCACGAAAUUUUGGUUGACGUUUCAUUUCCAUAGGUUUCCUACUUCAUUGCAAUUAUCUAAUAAAACAGAUUGACAAUGACAUAAACUUAUGACUGAUAGUUUCAAGUAAGAAGUUUACACAUAGACCUAUAUAGUAGGGACACGACAUAUUGUUCUAUACGUACAAUUGCUUAUAUAAAUAGCACCCAUUUUGAAGGCACAUACAUAAACAUAUAUCUAUCUCGUUCUUACUCAGCACUUUAACUCGCAGGAAAACAAUAUAACAGUAUUUCAGUGCGUACAUAAAAUGAAACAUGAAUAUACGUAAAUAUCUCCGUCUCCGUCUAAUGAGGCCGAAAAUCCGCCAUGUUUAGCGCGCCAAAUGUCAUUGUCACGUCAGUUCGGCCGUCUGUUUUGGGUUGUACAUUAUAUAUUGACUUUGAUAUCGAUUUAAUAUGAUUGAUUAUAUAAAAUUUCAUAAUUAUCAUGCUUAAAACAUACAAAAAUAAUAAUUAAAACGUGUUUUAUAGGAUCUCAAGAAAGUCGAUGCCCUAAAACUAUUAUCUAUAUGUAUUUAAAUUCAUUAUGGAGCCCUCAUCCGAAAAAUCCAUUUUUCGGUCGGAAUCUAUUGAUCAUGACACUAAUCAUAAAUACCACUUUAAAAUAUGUCAUCAAAACAUAUUUAGACAUUCUGUUUAGAUAUUUCGGGAAAAAGGCUGCCGACAAAAUCUCUUCGGAACUAUUUAAAUAAAAUAGUUUUAUUCCGCAGUGAGUAAAACACUAUUGUAAAUUUGUUAAAUAUUUAAUAAUUAAGUGAUUUUAGAGAGGAAGUCACAAGGAAUGACGUUUGUAAUUAAUGAAUAAAUGUUCUGUAGGUGUUUUUUUUUUCACGCGGUCCCUUGAUAAGUUUAAAAUUUGAAUCACUCUCAAGCGAAAGUGAUUCAAAUGGUGCGGCGCACCUUCCUUGGGGUGCGCUGCGGUAGUAUGUUACGGACUUUAGAGUCAGCAAAACAAUUAAAAUAGAUUGUUAUAGUCUAAGAAAAACACGUACUCAAAAUACGAUAACAUUUAGCAUGCUAGAAAUGGGCUGAUGGCUUUGAACUACGCCAUAUCUUUAUGUUUUGCGACAAACGACAACUUUAUAAAAUCAGUGUAGUAACUUUUAAAAAUCAUCAUAUCGUUUACUUGGCAAAUUCGAAGGACGAACUUGUCUUAGAUUUCACCCAUCUAAAUCAUAUCAUAUUUGCACAUAACAAUAUACCUACUUACUUCCCAUUAAAGUAUAAAUUCUACAAAUAAAUAAUACUCAACAAUAUUUAAAAUAAAAUGAGCCAAGAACGUUUAUCGAUUAAACCUGAUAACAUUGAAAUCUUUUGUACAGCACUAAAGCCGCCAUGUUUUGUGGCCAGAUGACGUCACAGUGGCACGAAAUUUUGGUUGACGUUUCAUUUCCAUAGGUUUCCUACUUCAUUGAGUUUACAUCAAUCAUCUUUAAAAAACACCACAAUAAUGCUUUAUUUUAGAGAAUGGGGGUAUUCGAAGAGACCUUCACUCAGCAUUGGGUGGACACGGGUUAAAGAAAAAUUUAAAAGGUGGAAAUUUAAAAUGUGGAAUUUAAGAAAGCUCGUCAUGUUGGUAGGGAGAUAGUCUGUGACGUUAAUAUUAUUACCGCCAAAAAAGACGAAAAAUAGAGAAGAACCUUAGCCGUAUAAACCGCUGCAAAAAUAAAGUUGCUAUUGCUUCGAUUGCGGUAUUAAUUAAAAUUAUCAAUUAUUUUAAUACUAGUUACGCUAAAUGUAUUGCAGACAAGUUUGUAAAAAAACAUGGUAAAGCUUUUUAAUGUUUCGUCAGGUUUAAAUGUUUAACAACAGUUGUUUAUUAACUGUGAAAUUGCACAAAUGUGGGAAAAUGAAACAAAGCCACUGAACGUUACUUCUCAGGAUCCUUCAAACAGUCUCAGUAAAUCUCAUUUCUAUCAGUUCUCAAUUCUCAGUUCUAUAUCAUCUCAUAUCAUUCAAUUUCAUUUCGUUUUCAUUUCAUUUCAUAAUAUAAUUUAUUAUAUUAAAGUUUUCAUUAAAAUUAAAAUAAGAAUUGACCUAAAGGUCUUAGUUACCAGGUCAUAAAAUCCCUUUAAAAAAAACUGACUUUGUAUCACAGAUUAUUAAAAUAGUUACACAAAAAUAGGCGGGAAACCUCAAAUCGGUUGCAGGUACUUUUUGAUCAUUUUUGUGCUAUAAUGUAUUUUUUAAAUUUAAUACACUGUCAUGGUCACAGGCAAUAUUCCUGAAACAUGGAAGUCUCAAGAAGUUAUAGCGAUUAAAAAACCUAACAAAACUACCAAUGAUGUUGCCUCCUAUAGGCCUAUUGCGCUGUCCUCUGUUUUAACUAAGAUGUAUGGAGAGAGACACGCGCGUUUGCUGUAUGACAUUGCCGCGGAUUCUCCAUCGACUUUACACUGACAACUUUAUCAUUUAAUUUUGAUGAUUAGUCGUUAUCAAAAAGCAACGUGUGACCAGCGCUGUGGUGUUAUACAAACUGACGCAACACUGUCUAUUAAAAAGUUAUGUAAACUAA